CCCUUAGACGUUCUGGGCCGCACGCGCGCUACACUGACCAGUGCAACAAGCAUCCGUCCUUGACCGACAGGCCCGGGCAAUCUUUGAACGCUGGUCGUGAUGGGGAUAGACUUUUGCAAUUUUUGGUCUUCAACGAGGAAUUCCUAGUAAACGCAAGUCAUCAACUUGCAUUGAUUACGUCCCUGCCCUUUGUACACACCGCCCGUCGCACCUACCGAUUGAAUGGUCCGGUGAAGCCUCCGGAUUGGCGCGCACCCCGGUGCCGCCGAGAAGUUGACUAAACCUUACCAUUUAGAGGAAGGUGAAGUCGUAACA
Molecule: ribosomal RNA, 315 nt
Filed under: uncultured eukaryote
Lineage: Eukaryota
Description: partial 18S ribosomal RNA
Rfam family: Eukaryotic small subunit ribosomal RNA
Source: RNAcentral